CCUUACAUUUCCGUUUUAUCAAUGCAUGGCGUACUCCUCAAACGCUGGUGCUUUUCCACCACAUUCUGUUACUUUAGCCUUGCAGAAAAAGGCAUGUGUUGUCUUUGAAUGCUUACUGCUGCACUGGACCAGACAAGUCGUCAUUGAUUGCACGAAGUAAAGGAUAUUUGCCCUGUCCACAAACACCAUUGAAGUCGUCCAUAUCCAGAGACCAGACCAUGAUACCACCAAGUCCUUUACUCUUGACGAAGUCGACCUGUAUCAUCAAUUACAACGAACUGUGAAAUAUAUAUAUGAUAUGUAAAAUAUAGCAUAUCUUGAAUUAAAUAGAUUGUUACCUUAA
Molecule: long non-coding RNA, 343 nt
Organism: Ostrea edulis (European flat oyster)
Lineage: Eukaryota; Metazoa; Mollusca; Bivalvia; Ostreida; Ostreidae
Exons: 2
Source: RefSeq, a predicted model, not a curated record